AUACGGAGGGUGCAAGCGUUACUCGGAAUCACUGGGCGUAAAGCGCGCGCAGGCGGGCUGAUAAGUUGGAUGUGAAAGCCUACGGCUCAACCGUAGAACUGCAUCCAAAACUGUCAGUCUAGAGUCUGGGAGGGGAAGAUGGAAUUAGUUGUGUAGGGGUAAAAUCCGUAGAGAUAACUAGGAAUACCAAAAGCGAAGGCAAUCUUCUGGAACACUACUGACGCUGAGGCGCGAAAGCGUGGGGAGCAAACAGGAUUAGAAACCCGAGUAGUCC
RNAcentral lists this ribosomal RNA (274 nucleotides) under uncultured bacterium. RNAcentral's name for it is "partial 16S ribosomal RNA". It matches the Rfam family "Bacterial small subunit ribosomal RNA", at positions 523 to 796 of the family's 1533-position model. The record is from RNAcentral.